This 229-nucleotide ribosomal RNA is filed under the name Acartia tonsa. RNAcentral's name for it is "partial large subunit ribosomal RNA". Lineage: Eukaryota; Metazoa; Arthropoda; Copepoda; Calanoida; Acartiidae. The record is from RNAcentral.
UCCGGUUUGAACUCAGAUCAUGUGCGGGGUAGAGGUCGAACAGACCUUGUGAAAAUAGCUUCUGCACUAUUUGUAGCCGCAAUUCAACAUCGAGGUCGCAAACAAUUAUUUUAAUAAGGGCUUAAAUAAUUAUAACGCUGUUAUCCCUAGAGUACCUUAUUCGUCUAAUUUAAUAAAGAUCAUUGUUAAUAUAAAUAGUCCUAUUUAAAUUUACCCCAAAUAAACUUGU